GAGCCCUUGGCACAGUGGUAGCGCGUGAGAUUCCAGCUGGUUUGCCAGGGAGUUCCUCAAGGUCGUCCGUUCGAUCCGGGCAGGGCUCA
Non-coding RNA from Trametes punicea, 89 nucleotides. Lineage: Eukaryota; Fungi; Basidiomycota; Agaricomycetes; Polyporales; Polyporaceae. The record is from the annotation of a GenBank genome assembly.